This 259-nucleotide long non-coding RNA is filed under the name Trifolium pratense (red clover). RNAcentral's name for it is "long non-coding RNA (TPRA_LNC001762)". The record is from RNAcentral. Lineage: Eukaryota; Viridiplantae; Streptophyta; Magnoliopsida; Fabales; Fabaceae.
CGCAAAUUCAUUAGAAAAGUCGACGAUUUAAACUAAAAUUUGAGGAAAAUGACCAACUUGAAACUUUUAAAAGAUAAGAGACCAAAUUGAAACCUAAAAUAAACAUAAGAGACCAAAUAUGCAAUUAAUUCUAAUUUUUAACAACCUAAAACCUUCUCAAUCUAGAAUCUUUGUUUGAUGACUUGAUGUUGUUUUGAAUUUUAAAAUUUGUUAAGCUGUUUUGAUUGUUAAGUGAUUAUAUAAAUAAGCUGUUUUGAUU